UAGGGAAUCUUCCACAAUGGGCGCAAGCCUGAUGGAGCAACGCCGCGUGAGUGAAGAAGGUCUUCGGAUCGUAAAACUCUGUUGUUAGAGAAGAACGUACGAGAGAGUAACUGUUCUUGUAUUGACGGUAUCUAACCAGAAAGCCACGGCUAACUACGUGCCAG
Molecule: ribosomal RNA, 164 nt
Filed under: uncultured bacterium
Lineage: Bacteria
Description: partial 16S rRNA
Rfam family: Bacterial small subunit ribosomal RNA
Source: RNAcentral